RNAcentral lists this ribosomal RNA (460 nucleotides) under uncultured archaeon. RNAcentral describes it as "bacterial SSU rRNA". It matches the Rfam family "Archaeal small subunit ribosomal RNA", at positions 879 to 1340 of the family's 1478-position model. The record is from RNAcentral.
CCACAAGGCGUGGAGGCUGCGGUUUAAUUGGAUUCAACGCCGGAAAUAUUACCGGGAACGACGGCAAGAUGAAGGUCAGACUAAAGAUCUUACCUAAUGAGCCGAGAGGUGCUGCAUGGCCAUCGUCAGCUCGUGGUGUGAACUGUCUGGUUAAGUCCAGUAACGAGCGAGACCCUCGUCUUUAGUUGCUACUGCAAUCUCCGGAUUGCAGGCACUCUAGAGAGACCGCUGUUGUUAAAACAGAGGAAGGUGAGGUCGACGGUAGGUCAGUAUGGCCCUAAUUUCCCGGGCAACACGUGGCCUACAAUGAUUAGGACAAUGCGCUGCCACUCCGAAAGGAGGAGCUAAUCGCGAAACCUAACCUAAGUUCGGACUGAGGGCUGAAACUCGCCCUCACGAAGCUGGAAUGCCUAGUAAUCGCAUGUCACUAUCGUGCGGUGAAUCGGUCCCUGCUCCUUGC